RNAcentral lists this ribosomal RNA (508 nucleotides) under uncultured bacterium. Its description in RNAcentral is "partial 16S ribosomal RNA". It matches the Rfam family "Bacterial small subunit ribosomal RNA", at positions 28 to 523 of the family's 1533-position model. The record is from RNAcentral.
GAUGAACGCUAGCGACAGGCUUAACACAUGCAAGUCGAGGGGCAGCAUAAAAGUAGCAAUACUUUGGUGGCGACCGGCGCACGGGUGAGUAACGCGUAUGCAACCUACCUAUCAGAGGGGAAUAACCCGGCGAAAGUCGGACUAAUACCGCAUAAAACAGGGGCACCGCAUGGUGAUAUUUGUUAAAGAAAUUCGCUGAUAGAUGGGCAUGCGUUCCAUUAGGUAGUUGGUGAGGUAACGGCUCACCAAGCCGACGAUGGAUAGGGGAACUGAGAGGUUGGUCCCCCACACUGGUACUGAGACACGGUCCAGACUCCUACGGGAGGCAGCAGUGAGGAAUAUUGCGCAAUGGGGGAAACCCUGACGCAGCAACGCCGCGUGGGUGAAGAAGGCCUUCGGGUCGUAAAGCCCUUUCGGACGGGACGAACGUUUCGCGGGGCUAAACCGCGAAGCUUGACGGUACCGUAAGAAGAAGCACCGGCUAACUCCGUGCCAGCCGCCGCCGUAA